AUGGCUUCCUCCACUCUCGCCUCCCACUUCCUCCCGUCGCUCCCCACCCCAAACCAUAAGCGCCUCUCCCUCCGCCUCCCAGCUCGCCGUCUCCCGGUGGCUGCCCCCGCGUCCCCUUCGGGCCCAGCGGCGGCCGCCGCGGCGAGGGAGCGGCGGCGGUUCCUGGAGCGGUACGGCCUCAAUCCCGAUGACUACGAGGAAGAUGCCGAGCCGGAUCCCAGGGAAGAGAGGAGGAGGGAGAGGCGGAUGCGGCGGUCGGGAAGAGGGGAGGAUGAGGCCGCGGUUGCUCCAGUCAAGGCGGUGGAGCGCCGGGAGACUCAUAAGAUGCUUCAGGUACUAGGUGGGAAAGUACGCAGAAGAAAAUUACUCUCACCAAAAGAUAGGAAUGUUCGUCCAAUGAUGGAAGUUGUUCGGGGAGCAGCCUUUGACAUUUUACAAUCAGCUGGUGGUUCUCCUGCUUCACUCAGACCUGGUCGGUGGUUAGACUUGUACAGUGGUACUGGAUCUGUUGGGAUUGAAGCUAUGAGCCGAGGCUGUUCAGAGGUACAUUUUGUUGAGAUGGAUCCUUGGGUGGUUUCUGAGGUCCUUAAACCUAACCUGGAGUGUACUGGUUUUCUUGAUGCUUCUGACAUACACAUGCUUCGCGUUGAAACCUUCUUGGACAAUGCUGAAAAAUCUAAAGGUAGAUAUCCUUCUUUCGAUUAUAUUAGCGUAACUCCACCAUAUGUUGAGGUAAACUACAGUACACUACUUGAUCAACUUGCAAGCUCACCGUUGGUUGGAGAAGAUUGCUUCAUUCUAGUUGAGUACCCACUGAAAACAGAUAUGGCUGAAUCCUGUGGAAAGCUUAUUAAGAUAGCUGACAGGAAGUUUGGUAGGACAAACCUGCUAAUUUAUGGGCCAACCUGGUCAGAGAAAAAGAAAAAGGUCCUGAGAUAACUUGUGUGGAAUUGAGGCUAGUUUUACACACGCUCUAUGGAAAUCGUUGUUGCGUGAGGUGUGAAGUCUUCGUAGGAAUUCCUACCUGUCCCAGUGAUAGCUCACCUAGCGGCCUCAUGUGAAGAUGUUAUCUUGGUGCACUGGGUGGGAGGGAAGUAAUUAUCCUCCAUUCUUGUUAGCAGAUCCACAUCCGACAAGAAAAACGAAGGCCCCUCUCUUUUCCAAGCUUCAGCAUCAAGCCAUUAUGAAGUCACCUUGAUGGACACGAUCCAAUGGGGUUGUCGACACCAGAAGGCCUCUAGUUCUACAGACUACAAGCCCGCAUAAUGUUCUAUUCCGAUUCUGCCUCACGGUUCCGGAUAGAUCAUCUAAGUCGUGCAGAGGGCCAUUAUGAAUGCUGGUUCUAGCUGCACCUUUUAGGCUUGGAUGUGCUUUAGAUAAUCUCCCAUGAAGGCAUACAUGGUCUCUGGCCAGCGAUGUACUCCGGAUCAAGACAUGCAACCAUGUGCGAGUGCCGCCUGACCUGCCUUACACUGCACGGGAUUGGCAGCACGUGUUCCCGCACGCGCCAUGCUAGUCACCACUAGUACUAUUCAGCGGGGCAGUACGAACCUGUCUCUGCAGCAAAAGCUGAACCGUCAAUGAGAAAUUGUUCUGUUUCUUGCGAAAAAAAGAACAGCUGGAUGUAAUGAACAGGAGUUAGAAAAGAAAUUUGACAGA
RNA transcript from Brachypodium distachyon (stiff brome), 1659 nucleotides. It is a transcript of the gene named putative rRNA methyltransferase YlbH, with no coding region annotated. Lineage: Eukaryota; Viridiplantae; Streptophyta; Magnoliopsida; Poales; Poaceae. The record is from RefSeq and is a predicted model, not a curated record. The transcript has 10 exons.